GUAGGUGAACCUGCGGAGGGAUCAUUACAAACGUUCCAAACGUUUAACAAACCAAACAUCCGUGAACUAAAACCUCCCUUGACAGUCUAGAAGCAACGAUCAGCUAAGGUGGAGUGGGAUACGGAAUACGACUCGCUGUUAAAGCGAGAGACGAUUCCCCCCACUGCGACGCGUUCUAGGAGUCCUCGAGCUCCAUUCUACUGUUGAGUGUCUUUUGCCACCACCUGGGAGACUAUGAUCUCCGUCUCUC
RNAcentral lists this unclassified non-coding RNA (250 nucleotides) under plant metagenome. Its description in RNAcentral is "partial contains small subunit ribosomal RNA, internal transcribed spacer 1, and 5.8S ribosomal RNA". The record is from RNAcentral.